GGGGGUGUGGCUCAAUGGCAGAGCACUUUCCUAGCAUGUGUGAGGCACUGGGUUUGAUCCCCAGCACCACAU
RNAcentral lists this transfer RNA (72 nucleotides) under Marmota marmota marmota (Alpine marmot). It matches the Rfam family "tRNA". Rfam says of the family: Transfer RNA (tRNA) molecules are approximately 80 nucleotides in length. Their secondary structure includes four short double-helical elements and three loops (D, anti-codon, and T loops). The record is from Rfam by way of RNAcentral. Lineage: Eukaryota; Metazoa; Chordata; Mammalia; Rodentia; Sciuridae. RNAcentral also lists the same sequence under 1 other name.